This 497-nucleotide ribosomal RNA is filed under the name uncultured bacterium. RNAcentral's name for it is "partial 16S ribosomal RNA". It matches the Rfam family "Bacterial small subunit ribosomal RNA", at positions 28 to 507 of the family's 1533-position model. The record is from RNAcentral.
GAUGAACGCUGGCGGCGUGCCUAAUACAUGCAAGUCGAGCGAACGGACGAGAAGCUUGCUUCUCUGAUGUUAGCGGCGGACGGGUGAGUAACACGUGGAUAACCUACCUAUAAGACUGGGAUAACUUCGGGAAACCGGAGCUAAUACCGGAUAAUAUUUUGAACCGCAUGGUUCAAAAGUGAAAGACGGUCUUGCUGUCACUUAUAGAUGGAUCCGCGCUGCAUUAGCUAGUUGGUAAGGUAACGGCUUACCAAGGCAACGAUGCAUAGCCGACCUGAGAGGGUGAUCGGCCACACUGGAACUGAGACACGGUCCAGACUCCGACGGGAGGCAGCAGUAGGGAACCUUCCGCAAUGGGCGAAAGCCUGACGGAGCAACGCCGCGUGAGUGAUGAAGGUCUUCGGAUCGUAAAACUCUGUUAUUAGGGAAGAACAUAUGUGUAGGUAACUGUGCACAUCUUGACGGUACCUAAUCAGAAAGCCACGGCUAACUACGUG